Molecule: ribosomal RNA, 634 nt
Filed under: Salmonella enterica subsp. enterica serovar Infantis
Lineage: Bacteria; Pseudomonadati; Pseudomonadota; Gammaproteobacteria; Enterobacterales; Enterobacteriaceae
Description: partial 23S ribosomal RNA
Rfam family: Bacterial large subunit ribosomal RNA
Source: RNAcentral
GGGCGUUAAGUUGCAGGGUAUAGACCCGAAACCCGGUGAUCUAGCCAUGGGCAGGUUGAAGGUUGGGUAACACUAACUGGAGGACCGAACCGACUAAUGUUGAAAAAUUAGCGGAUGACCUGUGGCUGGGGGUGAAAGGCCAAUCAAACCGGGAGAUAGCUGGUUCUCCCCGAAAGCUAUUUAGGUAGCGCCUCGUGAAUUCAUCUCCGGGGGUAGAGCACUGUUUCGGCUAGGGGGCCAUCCCGGCUUACCAACCCGAUGCAAACUGCGAAUACCGGAGAAUGUUAUCACGGGAGACACACGGCGGGUGCUAACGUCCGUCGUGAAGAGGGAAACAACCCAGACCGCCAGCUAAGGUCCCAAAGUCAUGGUUAAGUGGGAAACGAUGUGGGAAGGCCCAGACAGCCAGGAUGUUGGCUUAGAAGCAGCCAUCAUUUAAAGAAAGCGUAAUAGCUCACUGGUCGAGUCGGCCUGCGCGGAAGAUGUAACGGGGCUAAACCAUGCACCGAAGCUGCGGCAGCGAGCGUAGUCGAUGGGAAACGGGUUAAUAUUCCCGUACUUGGUGUUACUGCGAAGGGGGGACGGAGAAGGCUAUGUUGGCCGGGCGACGGUUGUCCCGGUUUAAGCGUGUAGG